GUCGAGAAUCUUUCACAAUGGGGGCAACCCUGAUGGAGCGACGCCGCGUGGAGGAUAAGGUCUUCGGAUUGUAAACUCCUGUCAUGCGUGAACAAGGUUGCUUGGAUAAUACCUGAGCAAAUUGAUGGUAGCGCAAGAGGAAGAGACGGCUAACUCUGUGCCAGCAGCCGCGGUAAUACAGAGGUCUCAAGCGUUGUUCGGAAUCACUGGGCGUACAGGGUGCGUAGGUGGCGUGGCAAGUCAGAUGUGAAAGCCCGGGGCUCAACCUCGGAACUGCAUCCGAUACUUCCAUGCUAGAGGACUGGAGGGGUGACUAGAAUUCUCGGUGUAGCAGUGAAAUGCGUAGAUAUCGAGAGGAAUACCAAAGGCGUAGGCAGGUCACUGGACAGUUACUGACACUGAGGCACGAAGGCCAGGGGAGCGAACGGGAUUAGAAACCCCGGUAGUCC
Molecule: ribosomal RNA, 449 nt
Filed under: uncultured bacterium
Lineage: Bacteria
Description: partial 16S ribosomal RNA
Rfam family: Bacterial small subunit ribosomal RNA
Source: RNAcentral